CAUGAUGUUGUCCACAAUCCACUGUCCAGGGAGGAAGUCCCGCUUGUGGAGACACAGGGUCAAUGGCCGGGCAGUUCUGUAAUUCGCAGCGUCUCCAUCGAUCUCCCUGUAGAAGUGUGCACAAGAAAACAGAUGCACUGAUUGCCUACCUGCCCUCGCCCGUCAGCGUGACGCCAUCAACUGAUAAGGAGCACUGCACGGACGAGAGGACCUUAAAGUGCUCGGAAAAAAAUGGAUGUUUGCACAUCAAUUUGGAAAACUCCAUCUGCUAAUGAAGUCCAUGUGAUGUGAUCAAAAGCUCCAGAACAGCACCUACUCAUAGCUUAGAGACUGACUCGCUAUAUCCCAAUAAACACCCAUCAGCGUUACCAUGGAGAUUCAGAGCCCUCAGUUGCAUGUGGCCGGUCAGGUCGUCAUCGGUCACUACGGUGAUGUUGUUGAAGGAGAGAUCCAGAGUAAGAGCACGGU
This is a long non-coding RNA of Seriola aureovittata, 468 nucleotides long. RefSeq lists it as uncharacterized. The transcript has 4 exons. The record is from RefSeq and is a predicted model, not a curated record. Lineage: Eukaryota; Metazoa; Chordata; Actinopteri; Carangiformes; Carangidae.